This 460-nucleotide ribosomal RNA is filed under the name uncultured bacterium. RNAcentral describes it as "partial 16S ribosomal RNA". It matches the Rfam family "Bacterial small subunit ribosomal RNA", at positions 338 to 795 of the family's 1533-position model. The record is from RNAcentral.
CCUACGGGAGGCAGCAGUGAGGAAUAUUGGUCAAUGGACGAGAGUCUGAACCAGCCAAGUAGCGUGAAGGAUGACUGCCCUAUGGGUUGUAAACUUCUUUUAUCUGGGAAUAAAAUGUUCCACGUGUGGGAUUUUGUAUGUACCCUAUGAAUAAGGAUCGGCUAACUCCGUGCCAGCAGCCGCGGUAAUACGGAGGAUCCGAGCGUUAUACGGAUUUAUUGGGUGUAAAGGGAGCGUAGGUGGAUUGUUAAGUCAGUUGUGAAAGUUUGCGGCUCAACCGUAAAAUUGCAGUUGAAACUGGCAGUCUUGAGUACAGUAGAGGUAGGCGGAAUUCGUGGUGUAGCGGUGAAAUGCUUAGAUAUCACGAAGAACUCCGAUUGCGAAGGCAGUUCACUGGACUGCAACUGACACUGAGGCUCGAAAGUGUGGGUAUCAAACAGGAUUAGAUACCCCAGUAGUC